CUACGGGAUGCAGCAGUGGGGAAUAUUGCACAAUGGGCGCAAGCCUGAUGCAGCCAUUCCGCGUGUAUGAAGAAGGCCUUCGGGUUGUAAAGUACUUUCAGCGGGGAGGAAGGGAGUAAAGUUAAUACCUUUGCUCAUUGACGUUACCCGCAGAAGAAGCACCGGCUAACUCCGUGCCAGCAGCCGCGGUAAUACGGAGGGUGCAAGCGUUAAUCGGAAUUACUGGGCGUAAAGCGCACGCAGGCGGUUUGUUAAGUCAGAUGUGAAAUCCCCGGGCUCAACCUGGGAACUGCAUCUGAUACUGGCAAGCUUGAGUCUCGUAGAGGGGGGUAGAAUUCCAGGUGUAGCGGUGAAAUGCGUAGAGAUCUGGAGGAAUACCGGUGGUGAAGGCGGCCCCCUGGACGAAGACUGACGCUCAGGUGCGAAAGCGUGGGGAGCAAACAGGAUUAGAUACCCUCGUAGUC
This 464-nucleotide ribosomal RNA is filed under the name uncultured bacterium. RNAcentral's name for it is "partial 16S ribosomal RNA". It matches the Rfam family "Bacterial small subunit ribosomal RNA", at positions 339 to 795 of the family's 1533-position model. The record is from RNAcentral.